Molecule: non-coding RNA, 65 nt
Organism: Podarcis lilfordi (Lilford's wall lizard)
Lineage: Eukaryota; Metazoa; Chordata; Lepidosauria; Squamata; Lacertidae
Source: the annotation of a GenBank genome assembly
GCAGCUCAGUGGUAGAACAUCUGCUUGGGAGCAGAAGGUCUGAGGUUCAAUCCCUGGAAUCUACA